AAAGGCGAAACGUAAUGUGAAUCGCAACUAACAGUGAAUCAUCGAAUUUUUGAACGCAGGCCGCGCCUUCUUAUCAUAUUUUAUUAUAUGGUAUCGGAAGGCACCCGCAUUUGAGUGUCAGCCAAAUAUCUCUUUGGUUCAUGGGGGAAAUCCAUUUUUUGGAAUGGAUAUAACUUGUGAAUACACAAUAGUUUUCGAACAUAUCACUUGAAAUGUUUUAAACAAAGUGUCUGGCCUCAAGCGUGGGAGAUUACCCGCUGGAUUUAAGC
RNAcentral lists this unclassified non-coding RNA (269 nucleotides) under plant metagenome. RNAcentral's name for it is "partial contains 5.8S ribosomal RNA, internal transcribed spacer 2, and large subunit ribosomal RNA". The stretch from base 1 to 120 matches the Rfam family "5.8S ribosomal RNA", at positions 51 to 154 of the family's 154-position model. The record is from RNAcentral.